RNAcentral lists this unclassified non-coding RNA (240 nucleotides) under uncultured fungus. RNAcentral describes it as "sequence contains ITS1, 5.8S rRNA gene". The stretch from base 192 to 240 matches the Rfam family "5.8S ribosomal RNA", at positions 1 to 49 of the family's 154-position model. Lineage: Eukaryota; Fungi. The record is from RNAcentral.
UUUCCGUAGGUGAACCUGCGGAAGGAUCAUUAAAGAUUCGAGCUUCGGCUCACCUCUUCAGCUGUGCGCUUCGGCUGCACGCUGUUGAACACUUCACACCUGUGCACCUUCUCGGUUGCGGCGCUCGCGUCGCUUCCGCUUAUACACAUAUCACUACAGAAGUCUAGAAUGUAACAAAACCAUAAAGUAACAACUUUCAACAACGGAUCUCUUGGCUCUCGCAUCGAUGAAGAACGCAGC